This 287-nucleotide ribosomal RNA is filed under the name uncultured bacterium. Its description in RNAcentral is "partial 16S ribosomal RNA". It matches the Rfam family "Bacterial small subunit ribosomal RNA", at positions 335 to 619 of the family's 1533-position model. The record is from RNAcentral.
GUUCCUACGGGGCGCAGCAGUGAGGAAUAUUGGUCAAUGGGCGAGAGCCUGAACCAGCCAAGUCGCGUGAGGGAAGACGGUCCUAUGGAUUGUAACCCUCUUUUGCCGGGGAGCAAAAAGCGGUACGUGUACCGCAUCGAGAGUACCCGGAGAAAAAGCAUCGGCUAACUCCGUGCCAGCAGCCGCGGUAAUACGGAGGAUGCGCGCGUUAUCCGGAUUUUUUGGGUUUAAAGGGUGCGCAGGCGGCGAGUUAAGUCAGCGGUAAAAUUUCGGGGUCCAACCACGAC